Novosphingobium nitrogenifigens DSM 19370 is the source of this 45-nucleotide regulatory RNA element. It matches the Rfam family "chrB-b RNA". NCBI's taxonomy places the organism in Bacteria, Pseudomonadati, Pseudomonadota, Alphaproteobacteria, Sphingomonadales, Sphingomonadaceae. The record is from Rfam.
CCGGGAUAAAGCAACCUCCCGGCCAGGCGUCAGCCCAAGUGUUGC